This 94-nucleotide transfer RNA is filed under the name Caudoviricetes sp. Its description in RNAcentral is "tRNA-Glu". It matches the Rfam family "tRNA". Rfam says of the family: Transfer RNA (tRNA) molecules are approximately 80 nucleotides in length. Their secondary structure includes four short double-helical elements and three loops (D, anti-codon, and T loops). Lineage: Duplodnaviria; Heunggongvirae; Uroviricota; Caudoviricetes. The record is from RNAcentral.
CGGCCGUUAGGGGAAAUGGCUAAACCCGCCUGGCUCUCAACCAGGAGUUUCUAUUCAUAGAAUAUUAUCGGUUCAAGUCCGAUACGGUCGACCA